This 519-nucleotide ribosomal RNA is filed under the name Shigella flexneri. RNAcentral describes it as "bacterial SSU rRNA". It matches the Rfam family "Bacterial small subunit ribosomal RNA", at positions 1005 to 1524 of the family's 1533-position model. The record is from RNAcentral. Lineage: Bacteria; Pseudomonadati; Pseudomonadota; Gammaproteobacteria; Enterobacterales; Enterobacteriaceae.
GAUGAGAAUGUGCCUUCGGGAACCGUGAGACAGGUGCUGCAUGGCUGUCGUCAGCUCGUGUUGUGAAAUGUUGGGUUAAGUCCCGCAACGAGCGCAACCCUUAUCCUUUGUUGCCAGCGGUCCGGCCGGGAACUCAAAGGAGACUGCCAGUGAUAAACUGGAGGAAGGUGGGGAUGACGUCAAGUCAUCAUGGCCCUUACGACCAGGGCUACACACGUGCUACAAUGGCGCAUACAAAGAGAAGCGACCUCGCGAGAGCAAGCGGACCUCAUAAAGUGCGUCGUAGUCCGGAUUGGAGUCUGCAACUCGACUCCAUGAAGUCGGAAUCGCUAGUAAUCGUGGAUCAGAAUGCCACGGUGAAUACGUUCCCGGGCCUUGUACACACCGCCCGUCACACCAUGGGAGUGGGUUGCAAAAGAAGUAGGUAGCUUAACCUUCGGGAGGGCGCUUACCACUUUGUGAUUCAUGACUGGGGUGAAGUCGUAACAAGGUAACCGUAGGGGAACCUGCGGUUGGAUC